GGGAGAAAAACAGGUAUCCCUGGAGGGUUUCAGCCUCUCCUGGGGCCUCCCCUUUGUAGGAAGGAGCUCUGCAUUAGGAAUUUCCUCCCAUGGACCCUGCUACCAUUGAGUCUGUCACCUUGAGCUCCCCUUGGUUCGUCCUUCAUGGUUUUGUUCUUUGCCUUCAGUGUCACAGCAAUAGAUACUAAAAUGCUUUCCGGGUUUUCUUUCUUGGCACCAGGACCCCAGGCCUGGUCUUUACUGAUGGAGCGUUAAAUCAGAAGAUUUUGUAGGACGCAGGAAGUCGUCUGAGGAUGAGGGCUUUGGCGUCAUCCUGUUGGUUCUGCAGAAAAGAGAACCAGUAAGGUGUCUGUCCACAGAGGAGGAGGUUGACUGGAUAAAACUGGCUCACACUGUUACCGAGGCUGAGGAGUCCCAGUCCCUGCCUCCAGCUGUCUCAGUAGCUGAGGACAGCCUUGGACAUCCAAUCCUUUUGCUUCCACCUUCCAGGUACUGGGAUUACAGGCAUGUACAACUACACCCAGGUUAGACGGUUUAAUGUAUUUGGGCAUUGUCAAACAACCAAUGUCUGGGAUUAAGGGUGGAUUCAGUGGACCUUUGCCACUCUGAGUGAGUCCAUAAGUGACACUGGAGGAGAGCAAUGUCAGGUCUGGAAACAAACAAACAAACAAACAAAAGCUUCUUUAAGAGUCUCAAAGAAUAUACAAACUGGCCUAGAAGUCACUGGGUACACCAGGCUGACCUUAAACUCACAGAGAGCCAUG
This 764-nucleotide long non-coding RNA is filed under the name Cricetulus griseus (Chinese hamster). Its description in RNAcentral is "lncRNA (ENSCGRG00015038028.1)". The record is from RNAcentral. Lineage: Eukaryota; Metazoa; Chordata; Mammalia; Rodentia; Cricetidae.